RNAcentral lists this long non-coding RNA (208 nucleotides) under Vigna radiata. Its description in RNAcentral is "long non-coding RNA (VRAD_LNC016997)". Lineage: Eukaryota; Viridiplantae; Streptophyta; Magnoliopsida; Fabales; Fabaceae. The record is from RNAcentral.
CCAAGAGAUCUUCUCCAAGGAGUGAAAAUUAGGUCUGGCCGCCCUCUUUUGUCAAAAGAAUGAAUCUCAAGUCGUAACAGGGCUAUUUAUAACUGAGGAGCGUCACAGAAAACAGGCCCAAGCCCAGCAGACAACCGCCCGGCGUCACACUGAUGCCGCCCGACGGUUUGCCCGUAAUCGCACCACCGCCCAGCGGUGGGGGGUUGCC